RNA transcript from Acinonyx jubatus (cheetah), 14256 nucleotides. It is a transcript of the gene named dynein axonemal heavy chain 14, with no coding region annotated. The transcript is spliced from 85 exons. Lineage: Eukaryota; Metazoa; Chordata; Mammalia; Carnivora; Felidae. The record is from RefSeq and is a predicted model, not a curated record.
GUUACGAGCAGGAAGGGUAGCGGCGCCGAGCCUCCCCUCGGGGCUGUCCUCGCCCGGCUCUCUCUCCGGCGUGUGCCAGCCGGACCUUCGCCUCUUGGCCCGAAAAGGGGCCGAAGCGGCCGUGUGGCCACGUCGCUGUGGCCUGUUAUUUCAGAGUCCUGUUUAGAAAAAAAAAUAUCGAAAAUAUACCCAUUGACGUGAUGACAGAUGAAGACAUGAACGGGGAGAAAAGCAACACAAAAGCAAGGCUUCGGAAAUACGCGGAACAGGAGUAUGGAGACGACACAUCAUCAGAGACUCAACCAGCUAAAGCAGCAGCAAAGGAAACCUUAAAAUAUAAAACACUUGAAACGUUUUCUGGAGCCUUGAAGUCAGGGCAGACAGAAGAAAUCUAUCAAGAUUACUAUCCAGAGUACCUUCAAGAAAGUAGAACUCUGCAGGAGCUUUCAAAGCCAGUUCCUCAUAAGAAGAAAGAGGUAUCAAAGGAAAAAAAGGGCCCAACUAACGCUUGUCCAAAAGUUAAGAAGAAAAGGCUUGCGUCGUAUGAUAGGACAGAACCGGAGGAUGAUGAUGUGACAAGACAUAUUAUAAGGCUACGAGAAAAGUUUGGCUGGCAAACAAUGUUACCGCAGCGCUGUUUGGAGUACAAAAGUUCCAAACUUGCAGUUCAGAAGAUUAUUCUAAAGGAACCUUUAAAAGAUGAUGGAGAAUUUGUAUAUUGCCUUUCUCGGAAAAAUCGUAAAGGUGUCUAUAAUCCGUAUGACCUCCAGGUGGUCUCUGCUCACAGAGCUAGACAUGGCAAAGAAUUCUGGAUUAUUACAGCAUCAUCUGUCUCCAAGGUUACUAAUGUAGGUGGCGUAGAAGAAGUAGAAUCUGUACCGACUGUGGAAUGGCUUUUAGAAAGAACGUGUUACCAUUUAUUGCAGCAGUUCAGGAUAUUUUCCAAGUUUCGAAUUAAUAAAGCAUUUGUUACUUGGAAAUUGAAUGUUAGAAGAAUUAAGACAGAGAAGAGCAGGUCAUUUUUGUGCCACCAUCUUUUUGGGGCUGAUGAGUUAUUUCAAGGCUGUCUGCUCUAUGUAAAGGGACUUUGUGAAGAUGCAGUUGAUGGCAAACAUGGAAAAGAAUAUGAAGAAACUCCAUCUGCCAUUUGCCUCAUCAAGCUGGAUAGGUCCCGAACGUAUUCUCUGGAUGGAUUUUGUGAAGAACAGGCACGGCAGGCUACCCAGGCAGUGAAACAGCUUGAGGAUAUCAGAGAGAAGGCUAUUUGCGAAAUGAAACGUACAUUUUUAAAGGUGGCAGAAAAGAAAGAAAUUAAAGAAUAUUUUGAGUCAAACCUCUCUGAAGACUACACAACACAUUUCAAGCUGCCUGAAUGUCGACGUUUAUUAGAAACAAUUUUGAGGUUUCUGAUGCUGGUUGACUACAUGUUUCAGGAACUCAUCCGUCAACUGAUGAACACUGCCGUCACACUGCUUUUGGAAUUAUUUAAUAAUUCUGCUAGAGUGCCAUUUUCAAGGGAGAGAAAGAAUGAAAAGCUCAUCAAAAUGUACAAGAAUAUCUUUACUUUCCCUGGAAAGAUAACAAAUGAUGGUGAAGAAUUUGUUGGCAAUUCAAAUUUACGUGCCACUUCUGUUUUAAAGUCAGAAGUGAAAAUGGAAGCAGAUAUUAAUGAGAUUUUGAAUCAUAUCAAAGUGGAGAGCAAUUUGAGGAAAGUAUAUGCACCAGUAUUUGAAGUGACUCUACGCUUGAGGUCUCCUGAAGAGAGUGACUCUUCAGAAACUUCCACAGAGAACUUUCAUGAGUCUGACAAUGGCUCUGAAGAACCUGGGGUGUGUGAACAAGAGGAGGCACCAAAAAAUGAAGUCAGUUGUGUCAUAAAACAGUCGAGUGAAGAAAUGCCAAUAAUGAAGAAACCAAAAAAAGUUUGUUACAACCUUGAAGAAAUACCUUCAGACAUAGAAAUCAUGACCGAGUUCGAGAAUAAAUACAUGUGUGAUGAGUUUUCAGAAUUUGCUACAAAUCUCUUCAUAGUUCCCAACAGAUUAGAUUUUUCAAGAAAAAUUCAAAAUAUGGUGACUGACAUUGAAAAACAUAUAACCAAGAUUAUUCCUCUUUGCCAAGAUCCCCGCCUGUCUGUCUUUACUGAAUCGGUUUUAAUUGUGAAUUUACCUAAUAAGACUGAAAGUGGCAUUGCCUGUAAGAAGACAACCAGAUGGCCAGAUUGUCAGGUUCUUUUUGAAAUGGAUCCUACCUACCAAAACAAAAUUGCCAGUCUCCUGACUAUUAUUGGUAACUCAAUGGGCCUGGUUAGUGCUUACAGCUGCCAGUUUAGAAAAUACUGUACCAUCGUACAGAGUGCCAAAGUCAUGAGUAUGAAAAUGUCCUCUAUGGAAGAAUUAACUCCAACACAGUUUAAAACUAUACUAGCUAAAUUCAGAAAGUAUCUGAAACACAUUGUCAACAUGGUCAUUGAGAAACGCAUUGGUAUUUUCAAUGUUACAAGUCUCGAUUAUCAGUCAGAAUGCUUACCAUAUGUUGAGAAUAUCAUACGUCUGAGUCACGACCUCCUGCGAUCUGUAAUUGAAAACAAGAGCACAAAUCUAUUAGAAGUUGUGGAGACCUCACUGAGGAAGAUGGAGUGCGAUCCCACUGAAAUUGAAGAAUUUGUGGAACAUUUUGCUUUUUUGGAGGGGAUUUCCUCAAAAUUGUCUGUGUUAGAGAAAGAACACUCCGUCGUUGCUCAGCUGCAUUCUGUUGUAAGGUAUUACCAGGUCCAGAUUUCAGGAGAGCAAAUUGCCAUCUAUAAAAUUCUUCUCGUCAAGUUUGGGCAGCUAAAAACCUCCAUGAAGUUAAGGGAGAUGAAUAAAGACGCCGCUAUUGCUAAAUUCAGAGACAAUCUGGAAGCUCACAUCACGGGUCUGCGAGUUGACGUCAGCAACUUGAAGGCCAAGAUCAGAACUCCUGUUCUGCUCUGUGCCGAGACUGGUGUGGCCAGCGCCAUGGAGAUGAUGCAGACACUCACGGAGGAAGCCGCAGGUCUGGCUCACAAAGCUAGAACCUACUCCAAAUUCCAGCAUUGCUUUGACGAUGCCGAGUCCCACAUGCACUCCCUGAACAUGGAGGACAUCGCGCAGAUCGUCCGUGCGGAGAUCGCCGACAUCGAGUAUGACCUGACCUUGAGGAAGACACUGUGGGCUGCACAGGAGGAAUGGAGAACGCUCCUUAGGGAGUGGAGGAACAGACCUCUCCACAGUGUCGACACAGAAUCCAUGCAGAGAAACGUUUCAAGAUGGAUGCAUGUGAUCUCCGUGCUAGAGAAAGGUUUACCUAAAAACGACCUGGUGACCCAUCUUAAGCAAUCAGUGACAGAAUUUAAACAAGAGCUGCCUACUAUCAUAGCUCUGGGAAACCCCUGUCUGAAGCCAAGGCACUGGGAUGCUCUCCAGAUUAUUGGAAAGUCAGUUUCUCUUGAUAAGAACUGCACAGUAGAGAAUCUUCUAGCUCUCAAGAUGUUUCAGCACCACAACGAAAUAAACGAAAUCUCAAUCUCCGCCACUAAGGAGGCUAUUCUUGAGAAAACGCUGUUUAAGAUUAUUGAUCUGUGGAACACGACCCCGUUACACUUGGUUGUGCAUCACUCCGAGACGUACUCCGUCCUGAUCAUUUCGUCCAUAGACGACAUACUCACUCAGCUGGAAGAGUCUCAGGUCACACUGGCAACAGUUAAAGGGUCUUCCUCUCUCGGGCCCUUUAAGGAUCUUGUGGAAAAGUGGGAUCAGAACUUGUCUCUCUUCUCUUCUACUCUUGAGGAAUCGAUGAAUUGUCAAAGAAAUUGGCUUUAUCUGGAACCAAUCUUUCAUUCUGUGGAAAUACAAAGGCAACUCCCUGUGGAAGCAAAACUCUUCUCUCAAGUGAUCUCCAUGUGGAGAGAAAUCAUGUCAAAAAUACAGAACAAGCUGGAUGCUUUGCGAAUAACCAUUUCUGCAGGCGUCCUUGAAACUCUGCAGAAUUGCAAUCUGCAUCUUGAACAUAUAAUGAAAAGUCUUGAGGACUACCUUGAAACUAAAAGAAUGAUUUUCCCCAGAUUUUACUUUCUCAGCAACACUGAACUUCUCGACAUCAUAGCGAAUAGCAGAAAUCCAGAGUCUCUACAGCCUCAUCUUGCGAAAUGUUUUGAAAAUAUAAAACGGUUACUGCUGUGGAAGCAAGAAAUUGGGCCCCCUGCCGUCAUAAUGCUCAUAUCCGCUGAAGGAGAGUGCCUUCUGCUGCCCAAGAAAAUUCGAGUAAGAAGUGCCGUGGAACAGUGGCUGGUAAAUGUUGAGAAAAGCAUGUUUGAUGUGCUGAAAAAAUUUGUAAGUCAAGGGGUCGAAGACUGGAGCUACCAGACUUUUUCCGUGUGGGUGGUGUCUCAUCCGGGACAAGUGGUCCUCACAGUGAGCCAGAUCAUGUUUUCUAAUGAUUGCAUCAGAAGUUUUGCGAGCUCUCGUUCAAGAGAGGAGCUGGAGAAAGUCCGUGCUGGUCUGAUGGGUCAGCUGGAGGAGAUUUCGGAGCUUGUGGCACUGGAUUGCGGUAACGCGCGCACGAAAGCCGUCCUGGGGGCGCUGCUCACGCUGUACGUUCACUGCAGAGACGUAGUGGGGGACCUGCUGCUGAAAGGGGUCUUCAGCGCAGAUGAUUUUGAGUGGACAAGACAUUUGCAGUAUCAGUGGAACGAAAAACAACAGCUGUGCUACGUGUCCCAAGGCGAUGCCAGCUUUACUUAUGGCUACGAGUACCUGGGCUGUACCCCCAGACUGGUCCUUACGCCCCUCACCAACAGGUGCCAGCUCACGCUCACGGGGGCUCUGCUCUUGAAUCUCGGAGGCUGCCCCUCUGGGCCCACUGGGACGGGCAAAACAGAGAGUGUCAAAGAUCUAGCAAAGUCAUUAGGCAAACAUUGUGUGGUGUUCAACUGUUUUGAGGAUUUGGAUUAUAAGAUAAUAGGAAGACUCUUCCUCGGACUGGUUCAGUCGGGAGCGUGGUGCUGUUUGGACGAGUUCAAUCGGAUCGAUGUGCAGGUCCUCUCUGUGAUUGCGUCGCAGAUCCUAACAAUUAAGGCCACAAAAGACAGCUAUUUGGUCAGGUUUGUACUGGAAGGAAAAGACAUUCGUAUCAAUAUGUCUUGUGCGGUAUUUGUCACCAUGAAUCCUGAGUACAAAGGUCGAGUAGAACUCCCAGAUAACUUAAAAUCUCUGUUUCGCCCAGUGGCGAUGAUGGCUCCCCAUUAUCAAAUGAUUACUGAAAUAAUGCUGUUUUCAUCCGGUUUCAAAUCUGCAAAAUCCCUCUCUGGAAAGCUGGUUAGCAUUUACGAAUUAGCUAACAAACAGCUCUCACAACAGGAUCAUUAUGAUUUUGGCUUGAGGUCUCUAAAGACAGUUUUAAUAGCGGCUGGAAAGAAGAAAUGGGAGUUUAAACGUAACACCAAUAGCGAGCUUUCUGAAACGGAUGAAAGUCUGAUCCUUACCGAGGCUGUAAGAGAAGCUAGUUUACCAAAAUUUCUCCCUGAAGAUGUCCCACUUUUUGAAAAGAUCAUGGCAGACAUUUUUCCUGGAGCAGCAGUUCCGACAGAAAAUCAAGUUGCCUUGGAGAAAGUAGUAUCUAUUGCAACACAACAGUUGGGUUUCCAUCAGUGGCCAGCUCAGAACAAGAAAACCAUACAGUUUUAUAAUCAACUUCAGACUUGUGUUGGUGUGAUGUUAGUAGGCCCAACAGGUGGAGGAAAAACAACAGUCAGAAGAAUUUUAGAAAGAGCAUUAACACUAUUACCAAUUGAAGACUUCCUAUCAACUAAAGAAAGCGAAUCUAUUUCACAGGUUCCAGGAAGAAAAGGAAAGGUAGAUAUUUGUGUUUUAAAUCCAAAGUGUAUCACUCUUAGUGAACUAUAUGGACAACUGGACCCUAACACUAUGGAAUGGACUGAUGGAUUAUUAUCAAGCACAGUUCGAAAUUAUGUACAUUCUAAUACUGCAAGGUACUCAAAAAAAGACAGCGAUCUUGGACUGAAAUCAAGAAUCUCGGAUGCAUCUAAUGUUUUCAAACUUGAUUCCUCUGAUAUAGCAGAUAUUGACGAUAAUAUUUCUAAGAAGGAGAUGGAGAAAGAUGUUAAAAUCCCAGAAAGUCAGAACCACGAUUGGCAGUGGAUUAUUUUGGAUGGUCCAGUGGAUACGUUUUGGGUAGAAAAUCUAAACUCCAUGCUGGAUGAUACUAGAACGCUGUGUCUGGCAAACAGUGAGCGAAUAGCCUUAACUAGUAACAUGCGAGUGGUUUUUGAGACGGACAGUCUCUCUCAGGCCAGUCCUGCAACCGUCAGCCGGUGUGCAAUGGUCUACAUGGAUCCUGUUGAUCUGGGAUGGGAGCCCUAUGUCAAGUCAUGGCUGUUGAAAACUUCUAAAAUUAUGAGUCAAACAGGAGUGAGUUGUCUCGAAUUCUUGAUUAAAAAUAGCGUCACAGACGGACUACAGUUUAUAAAGAAGCAUCAGAAAUGUCAGCCGUUUCCUGUACAGGACCUAGCAGUGGUCACAACUCUCUGCAGGAUUCUUGAUGCCUUCUUUGAGUUCAUGAGUGAAAAUGGAGGCUUUGGAAAAUGUGACGAUUGGAAGGACGUUUCAACUGGGGAGAAAAAUUCUCCACGUGCAAAAGUUUCUGCCAAAUUCAAGAAUACAGAAGAGAGAGCUGAAAGUACAUGGUAUCUGGAAAAGAAUCCUGAUAAAUUGAAAGUAGUGAUUCAGAAGCUCUUCAUGUUUGCAUUUACGUGGGCGUUUGGAGGCGUUUUACAGCAUGAAAGUGACCUUGAAGGUGAGACGGUGCUGUAUCGGAGCUGUGAUCCCAGUUCAGCCGCCAGAGUCACUUAUGGCUUCGACAAUCUCGUCCGCAAACUGUUUGAAAAUAACCCACAAGUAGGUAUCAGCCUACCAACUGGUAAGCACUCGAUCUUUGGGUAUUUUGUGGAUUUACAGCAAUGCGAAUUCCUACCAUGGUCAGAGUUACUUCCUAGUAUUCAGACCCUCAUUCAGAAAGGAACUUCAAUGCUAGCUGACCCGCAAGCAUCCAGCGAGAACCUCUUGAAGAUCACAGAGUACGGCGAGAACAUCAACCAUAUCGCCACCAGCGACACGGUGUCCUUUUCUUUCCUCAUCAGCCUUCUUUUAAAGAAUUUCUGCCCUGUACUUCUCACAGGAGACUCUGGUGUUGGGAAAACCACUACCAUUAAUCAAAUGCUUGAAAGGUUGGAGGGCCCUGGAGCAUUUGAUGUGAAAUAUGGGUCAAUUUUAGGAGAAGUCCUGUUGUAUAACGAAAUUAAAAAAUCAAGCCUGAAGCAGAAUAUCAACAUCUUGCUCUCUGAAAGUCACAAGACAGGAUCCGCAGGUCUAGUUGGGAAGACUAUUAAAAAGCCAGAAGUCAAAACUGAAGAAAGUUCACUGAAAGACAAUAAUAAAGGAAUUAUCGUCUCAACGAUAAAUUUUAGCAUCAGUAUGACCGCUGCCAAAGCCAAGGAGAUGAUCCUUAAGAAGUUAGUAAGAAGAACGAAAGACAGUCUUGGAGCGCCAAAGAGCAACCAGAUUGUAAUAUUCAUUGAUGACCUGAAUGUGCCCGAAUCGGACACGUAUGGGGCACAGCCGCCCCUGGAGUUAGUCAGACAGCUACUGGAUUUGGGAGGACUUUACGAUACCAAAAAACUCACGUGGAAGAAUAUUCAAGAUCUUUCUCUGGUUGCCGCUUGUGUCCCUUCAGUAGCCAGGAGGCACAUGAGCCCGCGCCUCCUCAAACACUUUUCCGUUCUGGUGCUGCCGCAUCCUUCACAGAGCGCCUUACGUACGAUUUUCCAGGCUCAUUUGGGAAUGUAUUUCUCCAUCAAUAACUUCACCGUCGACGUCCAGAGAAGUAAGGAUCAAACAACAUCUUGCUCUCUGGCUGUGUACCACCAAGUGUGCCAGAACAUGCUGCCGACCCCCGCCAAGUGCCACUACAUAUUUAACCUUCGAGACAUGUUUAAGCUUCUCCUAGGCUUGCUACAAGCUGAGAAGGCCGUUAUCAACUCCAAAGAGACGGCGGCCCUGUUCUUUGUUCACGAAGCCACUCGAGUGUUCCAUGAUCGUCUGAUUGACUCUGCUGAGAAAGGACUUUUCUAUCAGUUUCUUUCAAAAGAACUUGAGAAUUAUUUUCAGAUUAAUUGGACCAAAGAAAAACUGAUGGACGACUCAAUUGUCUUUGUGGAUUUCUUGGAUAUAAACAAGCCUCACAGAAAAAAGUUCUAUCAGAGCACCAGCAACUAUGAGAAACUGGCCAGUGUACUGAAUGAAUUCCAAAUGAAGCUGAGUUUAUCAUCCUCGGAGACUUCUCAUUCCAUGGUGUUCUUCAAGGAAGCCAUAGAACACAUCGCAAGAGCGGCCAGGGUCCUCCGGCAGCCGGGGAGUCACAUGUUACUGAUUGGAGUAGACGGGUGUGGGAAGGAAGCGUGUGCGACCCUGGCGUGUCACCUGAUGGAGUGCAAGCUGUCCCCCGUGCCCUCAGCUCACAGUCAGGCCCAUGCGGAGUUCAAAGAAGCCCUCAAAAGGGGGGUUAUCCAAGCAGGAUUAGAAGGGAGCCCCACCGCUUUGAUAGUUGCUAACAUAAACCUAAAGCAGGAGUCAUUUUUGGAAGAUUUGGACAGCGUUCUCAACUUGCAGAAAACCCUUGACUUGUUUGAAGAUGACGAGCUGGGCUCCGUCGCGCUACAGAUCCGAUCCUUUGCUGAGCCGUCUGGUUCUGUUGACGACAGGCAGUCUUUACUCGCACUCUUCCAGAAGAGAAUACAUAAAAAUCUUCACGUCUUUGUGACCGUGAGUCCCACAGGACCCAGCUUCCGCCAGCAGUGCCGACUGCGCCCUUCCGUGGUCACCGCCUGCACGGUGGACUGGUACGGGGAGUGGCCAGAGGAUGCCCUCCUCGCUGUGGCCGAUUCUUUCCUAAGAGAGAAGGUGGAUUUAGGGAGCAGGGAGCACUUAAAAGAAAAACUCGCCUUGACGUGUGUCCAAAUCCAUAAAAGCAUAAAAGACUUGAACACAAAAUACUUUCAGAAAACCGGACGGCGUAAUUACGUCACUCCCAACAGCUACUUGCGAUUCAUGGAUACAUUUGCUCACAUUUUGAGGUCACGCCAGAAGGAAAUGCAAGCAAAGAGGAGUCGUUUGCACAUGGGCCUGUCCAAGAUCCUGGAAGCCAGCGCUCUGGUUACAGAAACACAGGAGGAGCUCUUGAUUCUUGGCCCUCAGAUAGAACAAAAAACAAAGGAAAAGGAAGCCCUGAUGGAAAGGCUGUGGAGAGAUUCACAAGUAGUUGAGAAAGUUCAGAUGCUGGUUCAACAAGAUGAAGAAAUUAUGGCAGAAGAAGUCAGAAUUGUGGAAGAAUGUGCUCAGAGAACCGCCAGAGAGAUAAGGAGUGUGCUGUCAGCUCUGGACAAGGCCACCGUGGCCCUGAGCACCCUGGAUAAAGCCGACAUCACCGAGCUAAGGGUGUACACGCGGCCUCCCUCCCUCGUGCUGAUGGUCAUGAACGCUGUGUGCAUUCUUCUGCAGAAGAAACCCAACUGGGCCUCGGCGAAGUUGCUUCUUUCUCAAACCGGUUUCCUAAAAAAACUGAUCAACCUGGACAGGGACAGCAUCCCCGACAAGGUUUUCAUGAAGCUGAAAAAAAUUUUGCUCUUCCCUGAUUUCAACCCAAACAAGAUUGCCCUCGUUUCUAUAGCCUGUUGCUCUAUGUGCCAGUGGGUCAUAGCCUUGAAUAACUAUCAUGAAGUGCAGAAGCUCGUGGGCCCCAAGCAGAUCCAAGUGGCAGAAGCUCAACGUGUCCUAAAAAUUGCACGACAGAGGCUGGCCGAAAAACAAAGAGGUUUGCAGCGGGUGGAAGAACACGUGCUGGCCUUGCAGGCGGCCUACAAAGACCUCGUGGCCAAAAAGCAGCUGCUAGCAAACAGAAGGAAACGGGCCACCGGGCGCCUGCAGUGUGCAUCUGUCUUACUAACCGGCCUGGAAGGCGAGAAGACUCAAUGGCCAGAAACAAUCGAUCAAAUAGACAAGAAGUUGGAAAGAAUCUGGGGUGACGUGCUUCUUUCAGCAGCGUGCAUCGUCUACAGCGGGGCGUUGACAGCAGAAUUUCGCCAGUUGAUUGUGAACAAAUGGGAGACUCUCUGCACCGAAAACAGCAUCCCUUUGUCGCCCAACUUUUCUUUAAUUGAAGUCAUGGCCCCAAACCACGAGAUCCGCCGGUGGCAUUCUCAGGGGCUCCCGCCCGGUCAGUAUUCAGCGGAGAACGCUAUCUUGACCAGGAACAGCCUGCAGUGGCCACUGCUGAUUGACCCACAUAAGCAGGCUCACAACUGGAUCCGGCAGACGGAAGGGUCCAGGCUGCAGGAGCUCUCCAUGGAGGACGGCAGCCACAUCCAAACUAUUGAAAAUGCUGUGAAGACAGGAGGGAGUGUCCUCUUGCAGAAUCUCCCUGAAACAUUAGCUCCAAGUUUAAAAGCAAUUUUGAAGAAGGAGAUCUAUCAGAAAAGAGGACGAUAUUUCAUAAGGGUUGAGGAUUCUGAGAUUGAAUACAAUUCCCAAUUUAGGUUGUUCAUUUCCACAGAGGUAGACAACCCCCAUCUUCCUCCGUCGGUUUAUAACUUUGUCACCGUGAUCAACUUCACCUUAACGUUCCAAGAUUUGCAGGAUCAACUCCUUUCUACGGUAUUAACUCACGAAGUUCCUCACUUAGAAAGUCAGCGUUUCCAGUUGUCAGAGAGUACAUCCCUUGAUGCUGGGACUCUUGAAGAGCUGGAAGAAACGUUAAGUGUACUGGAGACCGUCCAAGCACGUGUGUUAGAUGAUGAGGAAAUUGUAGACAUCUUAAGAAAAUCCAAAACGACUUCAAAUGAGAUUUCCAAGCGCAUCAAAGCGACAGAAAAAGCAGAAAGUGAAAUCCAAGCGCUGCAGGAACACUACCGGUCUGUCGCGACUCGAGGCGCCCUGCUCUACUUCCUCGUGGCCGGGCUCACCCGCCUCAACUCCAUGUACCAGUUCUCCCUGGACUGGUUUCGCCAGGUGUUCGUUCGAUCAGUAGCUCCCCGAAGCAAAGAACAGGAACACGGCCUGAAGAGGGAGAAAACGUCUCAGAAAAAAGUUGGUGAUAUCACAGACCUCGCCAAGGAACCAAAGUUAGAGAGCGACAGGCACCUCUUAGAGAAACAUCUUCAACAGUCAGUAGAUGUGCUGACAAGAAAUGUUUUUAAGGUGGUGUCCUCAGCUCUGUUUCACCAACACAAGCUGUGUUUCUCCUUCCGGCUUUGCACCAUGAUCAUGCAGAAUAAUGCUGGGGGCAGUCCAGUGCCGGAUGACAUCGGGUCCCUAUCGGACGAAGAAUGGGACAUCUUCUUACAUUCCGACACAUUGACGAACGUUAAAGGUGUGAUGCCCCAGCCUAGACUUAACAACAGGUAUGAAACUUGCAGAAAUCGGCACCUUCAGUGGUUGUCGGAUUCCACGUGGAAGCAGUGUCUGUACGUCAGCCACGAACUUGAACCGUUCGCUCUGCUGUGCGAGUCCCUUCUAUCAAAUGUGUCGCAGUGGGACGCUUUCAAAAGCAGUAAGGCUGUCUAUUGCCUGAUGAGCCUGCCUUUCUCUCCAGAAAAGGCUCCAGCGGAGGAAAGGAAGAAACCACCGGAGGGAACUGAACUUCUGAAUGAAGUUGAAGAAAUAUAUAGUCCUGUGAAUUUCCGCUGGGAGAAACUCACUCCAUUUCAAAGACUCAUUCUGAUCAAAAUUCUUCAGCCGGAGCAGCUAAAGAAUUCAGUGAGAAGGUUUGUAACUGAAAAAAUGGGAGAUGAAUAUGCUCUCAGGACUGGAAUUCGUUUGCAAGAGUCCUAUGAGGGAUCCAGUGCCACAACGCCACUGAUACUUCUGCACUCCCACGGGACUGACCUCACCAACAUGCUCCUGAAGUUUGCGCAAGAGUUGAAAGGAAGAACGCAGCAUGUGACGGUGCUUUCCCUGGGCCGUGGCCAGGCCGCUAAGGCAGAAGAGGUCAUUGUGAAGGCCCUGAGCAGCCCCACACAGUGGGUCUUCCUCCAGAACUGCCAUCUCGCCACGUCGUUCAUGCCACGGCUCUGCUCCAUCAUAGAAUCAUUUAACAGCCCACAUGUGACAGUGGACCCUGGGUUCAGGCUGUGGUUAAGCUCAAAGUCGGGCAGUUCUUUCUUGAUUCCUAUUCUUCAAAGGAGCUUAAAGAUCGCAGUGGAAAAUCCGCAAGGAUUGAAGAGUAUCUUACUGCAGACGUUUGGAUACAGUGGCAGUGGAGUGGUGACAGAAGAGACAUUUGGAAAACUGGACUGUGGACCGUGGUGGAAAAAGCUUUUAUUCGGCUUAUGUUUUUUCAAUGCUCUAAUCAACGAGAGAAAAAAUUAUGGAACACUGGGCUGGAAUAUUGCUUACAAAUUUAGUUCUUCAGACUUGGAGGUUGCCAUAAAGGUGCUGGAGAACUCCCUGAAUGCACAGACCGGUAUUUCGUGGCAGAAACUGCACUACCUCAUUGGGGAAGUGACUUACGGCGGCCGGGUGACGGACACCUGGGACAGGCGGUGUCUAAACACCCUUCUGCACAAAUUCUGUAACCCGGAAGUGCUGAAAGAUGACUUCAGUUUCUCCAGUGAUGAGAUACAUCAGCCAGUGCCGAAAUCCGCGAGCUUGAGGGAUUACAUACACAUUGUCCAGUCCUUACCUGACGACGACACGCCUGGGCUCUUGGGACUGCACCCAGAGGCCAUAAGGGGUGGCAGAGAGAUCCAGGGCCGGCACCUUGUGGACAGUCUCAUUACCAUGCAACCCGGGACCAGCGCUGACCUCGUGGUCUGUCCCGAGCAGAGUAACGACAAACUGCUGAUGGAAAUCCUGUCUGACCUGCUACUGCGGCUACCGAGGUCUGUGGAGAAGGAAGAAUGUGCUGGAACACCCAGCACCUUGAAGUGCAUCAUAUCCAGCCCCCUCUGGGAGUCUCUCUGUAAGAGCAUCCAAGGCUAUGAUCCCCUCAUCCACUGUGUCCUGCUAACCUUUCUGAGCCAAGAAAUCGAACGAUUUGAUAAGUUCUUACUUGUUGUGCAUGAAUCUUUGAAAGGCCUUCAACUUGCAAUAAAAGGAAAAACCAUCCUCACCCAAGAACUGGAGGAAAUGUAUGAGUCUUUUCUCAAUGGAAGAGUGCCUACGCUGUGGCAGAAACAUGCCUACAAGUCCUGUAAGCCUCUGAGUUCCUGGGUUAACGAUCUCAUCCAGCGAGUGAAUUUCUUCAACACUUGGGCCAAAAUGGCUUACACUGCAAUACAUCAUCGGUACAUGAGAUUUGUCGCCACCGGGAAGCAUUCCAUUCCAUCAUCCACCCAAAACCCCAGAUCCUCUGACAAUAAAACCAGUGAUUUCUGUGAAGGAUUUCCUGCAAGAUACUGGCUCCCAGCUUUCUUCUUUCCGCAAGGCGAGAAUUGGCGGUGGCCCGGAAGGACGACAGAGGAGGGUGGAAGAGAAUAGUCGUAGGACGCUGAGGGAGCAGAGAGGGAGGCUCCCCGGUCUUGGGCUCAGAGAGCUGGGUGGCGGCUGACGACCAUUACUGACACAGGGACACGGGGACACAGGGAGAGGAGCAACGUGAUGGGCAGAGAGGUGGCCGACACCUGUCAAGUCUGAGACGUUCGGAGGAGACCGCAUGGUGGGCGGUGGGCAGGUGGCUCUAGGGGGCUGGAGCUCAGGAGACACGGGGGCUCGACAGCGUGGCAGUGUCACUGAGCGCCUGGGGGACAGGGCCAGGGCGUGCCGGCUGCCACCAGAAGCACAAAGAGGUUGGUGGCCCCAGUCUUGUCCCCUGGAGGCCGCGGACCCCCGAGAGGCGCACAGAGGAGGGCCGGGGCAGAGACGGCCUCUCGGGCCUUGGAAAGUUCUGAGGAAAUUUGGAGAAAGAGCGUCCCAGGAGGAGGGCAGGAGCGAAGUCACCAGCCGGGUGCCCGCUCAGACAUUUCCCACAACGGCACAGCACGGGAAACAUGCCAGUGUGGCGGGGGCCUCAGUGCCCAGGUGACUCGCCUUUCUCGUGGCCGUGCUUCACGACUACGGACGGUCCCAGGGAAUCUCUCUCGGCGCCCUCACGUUUGCCCACCGUGUGAUCUCGGACACCGCUGACAGCAGAGACGAGGGGUUCUCCGCGGCCAUCCACGGGAACCUC